CGGACGGGUGAGUAACACGUAGGCAACCUGCCUUGUAGCCUGGGAUAACUUCCGGAAACGGAUGCUAAUACCGGAUACAUCAUCUUCUGGCAUCGGAGGAUGAGGAAAGACGGCGCAAGCUGUCACUAUGAGAUGGGCCUGCGGCGCAUUAGCUAGUUGGUGGGGUAAUGGCUCACCAAGGCGACGAUGCGUAGCCGACCUGAGAGGGUGAACGGCCACACUGGGACUGAGACACGGCCCAG
RNAcentral lists this ribosomal RNA (242 nucleotides) under uncultured bacterium. RNAcentral's name for it is "partial 16S ribosomal RNA". It matches the Rfam family "Bacterial small subunit ribosomal RNA", at positions 99 to 334 of the family's 1533-position model. The record is from RNAcentral.